CGAAAGCCUGACGGAGCAACGCCGCGUGAGGGAUGAAGGCCUCCGGGCUGUAAACCUCUUUUAUCAAGGAAGAAGAUCUGACGGUACUUGAUGAAUAAGCCACGGCUAAUUCCGUGCCAGCAGCCGCGGUAAUACGGGAGUGGCAAGCGUUAUCCGGAAUUAUUGGGCGUAAAGCGUCCGCAGGCGGUUUUGUAAGUCUGUCGUUAAAGCGUGGAGCUUAACUCCAUUUAAGCGAUGGAAACUGCAAGACUAGAGUGUGGUGGGGGCAGAGGGAAUUCCCGGUGUAGCGGUGAAAUGCGUAGAUAUCGGGAAGAACACCAGUGGCGAAGGCGCUCUGCUGGGCCAUAACUGACGCUCAUGGACGAAAGCCAGGGGAGCG
This 379-nucleotide ribosomal RNA is filed under the name uncultured cyanobacterium. RNAcentral's name for it is "bacterial SSU rRNA". It matches the Rfam family "Bacterial small subunit ribosomal RNA", at positions 376 to 770 of the family's 1533-position model. The record is from RNAcentral. Lineage: Bacteria; Bacillati; Cyanobacteriota.